Molecule: long non-coding RNA, 1575 nt
Filed under: Pectinophora gossypiella (pink bollworm)
Lineage: Eukaryota; Metazoa; Arthropoda; Insecta; Lepidoptera; Gelechiidae
Description: uncharacterized LOC126367512
Source: RNAcentral
UUAUUAAAUAUAAAUAGAUUAUUCAAUGAAGAAAACAACUUUCCCGCCAAAAAACAAUGGAAAAAUUAAUGAAAAUACUCAAUAUUCACUGCUUUUAAUAAAUUGUACUGAAGUAACAAAAAGCAAUUAGAUUUUAUAUUGCUUAUUUAUUAAUUCCAUCGACAUCUAUGCGACCGAGUGAAGUAAAAAGUACCUCAAUAUUUUUCGAUAUUGGCUGUUUGAAUCUGCGUUGCCAGAAUUUCUUUGUCUCAUGGAAAAAAAAGUAAACUCAGUACCCAAACCGUUGGCGCGAAAAAGUGACAAGCGUUUUUUCACUUGUAUUUCAAGAUUCCAAAGGUAAGUUGAUUUUGUUAUUGAUAAUUUAACAAUUAUUUAUAAAUAUAUUUAGGUAUAUAAUCUUUAAAAUCGUAAAAUAGUUAGCCAUAUAAACAUAAUUAUUAUAAUUGUAAGAUCUUUAACUAUCUGUACUGAUUUUCUCUUUUUCACAUAAUGAAAGUGAAACAUUAAAAGGUAAGUACGUACCUACUUAAAGCUAUAAUUCUUAUUUUAUUGUCUAUUAGAUAAACAAAUAGUACAGAAGUGGUUUGUUUACAGAUGAAGCGUUCAAGCGUCGAAAUUCCAUUGUGCUCUACAAUGCGUCGCCGUCGCGUCGACGACGAGCCUGCUGCAACCUGCAUCGGUGCCGGUCUAACACACCAAGGCUCCGAUAUGUAUGAAGGAAAUGCACAAUGCUAAAAACUGCGUAGGAGAUUUUAAUACAAUAGUACUACCAAGCCUGAUGUUGGCCGCUAUUUCAAUGAAUGCAGCAGUGUGACAGCUAGCAAUCAAAAGUAACAAGAUAUCGAGGAAAUGCAGAUGGCAAUAAACUGUGUAGGAGUUCAUGAUUGCAAUAGAAUAAAAUCGACCAAGCCUGAAGUCAGCAGCCCCUUCAAUGAAUGCAGCAGUGUGACAGCCAGCAAUCAAAAGUUACAAGAUAUCGAGGAAAUGCAGAAGGCAAAAAACUGCGUAGGAGAUCAUUAAUACAAAAGUAUUAUAUAAACCAAACCUGAUGUUGCCAGCUCCUUCAAUGAAUGCAGCAGUGUGACAGCCAACAAUCAAAAGUAACAAGAUAUCGAGGAAAUGCAGAAGGCAAAAAACUGCGUAGGAGAUCAUUAAUACAAUAGUAUUAUAUAAACCAAGCCUGAUGUUGGCCGCUCAUUCAAAGAAUGCAGCAGUGUGACAGCCAGCAAUCAAAAGUAACAAGAUGUCGAGGAAAUGCAGAGUGUAAUAAACUGUGUAGGAGAUUAUGAUUGCAAUAGAAUAAAAUCGACCAAGCCUGAAGUCCUUCAAUGCACGCAGCAGUGUGACAGCCAGCAAUCAAAAGUUACAAGAUAUCGAGGAAAUACAGAAGGCAAAGAAGCAGAUGUCAUCAAAGAAGAUCUUUGUUCCUGCAAUGUUUCCGCAGACGAUACAUCCAACAGAGCGAAGUGGAAGGAAAAGACUCGGAAUAAAGACCCCACCACCAUAUGGGAACAAUGCAAGGGAGAGAGAGAGAAUAUAAUGUUAUAUUUUUAUUUUUUGAUAACAUAAAAUAAA